This 164-nucleotide small nuclear RNA is filed under the name Castor canadensis (American beaver). RNAcentral's name for it is "U1 spliceosomal RNA (ENSCCNG00000029961.1)". It matches the Rfam family "U1 spliceosomal RNA". From Rfam's summary of the family: U1 is a small nuclear RNA (snRNA) component of the spliceosome (involved in pre-mRNA splicing). Its 5' end forms complementary base pairs with the 5' splice junction, thus defining the 5' donor site of an intron. There are significant differences in sequence and secondary structure between metazoan and yeast U1 snRNAs, the latter being much longer (568 nucleotides as compared to 164 nucleotides in human). The record is from Rfam by way of RNAcentral. Lineage: Eukaryota; Metazoa; Chordata; Mammalia; Rodentia; Castoridae.
AUACUUACCUGGCAGGGGAGAUACCAUGAUCACGAAGGUGGUUUUCCCAGGGCGAGGCUUAUCCCUUGCACUCCGGAUGUGCUGACCCCUGCGAUUUCCCCAAAUGUGGGAAACUCGACUGCAUAAUUUGUGGUAGUGGGGAACUGCGUUCGCGCUCUCCCCUG